Molecule: long non-coding RNA, 1906 nt
Filed under: Prunus dulcis (almond)
Lineage: Eukaryota; Viridiplantae; Streptophyta; Magnoliopsida; Rosales; Rosaceae
Source: RNAcentral
UCUAGUCUCUGGACUCUGGAGCCUCCCCGCACUUCUGAAAAGAAAGAGCAAGCCUCUCGACACUUGCAUUUUCAGUCCAACCCAUUAGAGCCCUCUCUGCUGUGCGCCCUCCAUCUUCAUCUUUCAUUUUCAGUCCCAGCUCCCUCCUUUCAGUCUCUUGCUCGGUAAGUGUAUGCUGUAAUUUUUGUUUUUAAUUCCUAUUGUAUUUAUGGGUUUCCUGAAUAAUCAAAUAUUGUCUGUUUCCAAAGGAAAAAAGAAGAAUUGAAAAUUGUUUGAUUAUAAUUUGAAAAUCAGCAAGCAUGUUUUUAUUUUUGUUUCAUUAUUAGUAUUGAUUGGAAAAUUGGCCGCCACCAACUUCCUCUUGCCCCAUUCACCCAUCGAGCAGUGAAAUUUUUAAGUAUUAUUUGGUAUAUAUGCUUUUGUAUCUGGUUUUUAUGUUUUUGGUUCUUGUGUUUGAUUUGUAAGGAUUGAUUUUUUAGUGUGUUUUUGGUUAGUGAUUAUCACACAUUUGCAAUUAUUUGUUUGGGUUAAAUCUGCUGCCCAAACCAAUCAAACUGCCCAAAAGGGAUUGUGUUUAUAGGUUCAAGUGUGCGGUCGGGGCUCGAACCAAACUAAUGCGUUCCUUGCCCACCCAUUGAUUAUGGGAUGUAGCUUAUUUUUGGUUGCUAGAUGUCCAACACUCCUUUCUUUUGAUACUUGAAAAUGUAACAGUAGGAUUUGGAUUGUUUAGAUGUCUUCCUCUUUUUCUUUUCCUUUUGGUUUAUAAAGAACAAAACAAAGUCUGCUUAUCUGAAAACAAAAUUAUUUCACUGGGUGGCAGUAAGAAUCAAGUGAAAGGUCAUCUGUACGAUGAUUGGAUGAUCAAUUCAGAUCAUUCUUAAAAGUGCUUAUUUGUCUAAGAGGUACUUUGUGUCAUUACUGAUAUUUAUAUUUGAAAGCUGUAUACUUUGUUUUUAUGAAAAAACUGCAAGGGGCAUAUUUAAGAUGUGCAGAAACCAUUAUCCAAAGAUAAUGUGUCAUGCCCUCUUUCGAAUAACAGUGACAAAUGUUUUUGCAUUAUAAUUUUCUCAAAUUUCGAUGUGUAAAUUAAUUAUGUAAUAAUUGAAAAAUAUUCUCAGAUAGAAAUGAUUUCUUAAUCAUAUCUUGCAACUUGAGUAUCUGCAACUCCAUAGCUGUGUCCUCUUCUUCAACUUCAAUGUGUAGAUUUUGUUUAUAAGGUUGGACAGUUAUAAUUGCCAACUUAGUAGCAGCAUAAGCUUAGCUAAGAUGUCUUUCGUCUUUUUAACUCUGCCUAUAAUAGAGCAGGUUUUCUCUUUGUUGUCGAUCGAGGAUAACUUAUCCUCUUGAUUAUUAAUACAAAAGUUUGUAUUAAAAAAAAAAUAUAGUAGCAGCAAAACCUAAAUAAAAAUCAACCUUCUUGGCCACUUACUGAAAUGAUGAGGUGAUUCUUUACCACAGAGAAUAACUUAUAAUUUUAAUUCUAAGUUUGAACCAUACUGCACCUAUACUUCAAACUUUUUCCAGUGGAGGUAUCAAAUAUAGAUACGGAUAUGAUAAUACAUGCUGGGAAAUGAAGUAUUGUUAACUUUUCUAUUUUGCUGGAUACGGUGUCGAUACAGAACUGAUACUCACAGGAAACUGUCCCAAUACGGUCAAGAUACGGCUAGUGGUUAUUUAGAAAUUGUUUGAAAAUUUAUGUGGUAUUUUUUAAUAUUAUAACAAAUAUGGGGUCGAAAUGUGAAUUUUAAAACUUGGCCAGAUCACACCCAGCCUAUUUUUCUCAACAGAAAGAGGAAAAGCUAGGUUUUCACAUUUGAAAAGAAACUGUGGCACCAACCAAUUCAAAGAUCCAGAAGGAAGAAGGAAGAAGAAAGAAAUUUCAAAAGGACCUCUUCUUCUCCACUGA